GUCAGAAUGGCCGAGCGGUCCAAGGCGCUGCGUUCAGGUCGCAGUCCGGUCUUCCGGGCGUGGGUUCGAAUCCCACUCCUGACA
RNAcentral lists this transfer RNA (84 nucleotides) under Penaeus vannamei (Pacific white shrimp). Its description in RNAcentral is "transfer RNA leucine (anticodon CAG)". It matches the Rfam family "tRNA". Rfam says of the family: Transfer RNA (tRNA) molecules are approximately 80 nucleotides in length. Their secondary structure includes four short double-helical elements and three loops (D, anti-codon, and T loops). Lineage: Eukaryota; Metazoa; Arthropoda; Malacostraca; Decapoda; Penaeidae. The record is from Rfam by way of RNAcentral.